This 505-nucleotide ribosomal RNA is filed under the name uncultured bacterium. RNAcentral describes it as "partial 16S ribosomal RNA". It matches the Rfam family "Bacterial small subunit ribosomal RNA", at positions 28 to 507 of the family's 1533-position model. The record is from RNAcentral.
GACGAACGCUGGCGGCGUGCCUAAUACAUGCCAGUAGAACGCACAGUUUAUACCGUAGCUUGCUACACCAUAGACUGUGAGUUGCGAACGGGUGAGUAACGCGUAGGUAACCUGCCUGGUAGCGGGGGAUAACUAUUGGAAACGAUAGCUAAUACCGCAUAAUAUUAAUUAUUGCAUGAUAAUUAAUUGAAAGUUGCAAUUGCACCACUACCAGAUGGACCUGCGUUGUAUUAGCUAGUAGGUGAGGUAACGGCUCACCUAGGCGACGAUUCAUAGCCGACCUGAGAGGGUGAUCGGCCACACUGGGACUGAGACACGGCCCAGACUCCUACGGGAGGCAGCAGUAGGGAAUCUUCGGCAAUGGACGAAAGUCUGACCGAGCAACGCCGCGUGAGUGAAGAAGGUUUUCGGAUCGUAAAGCUCUGUUGUAAGAGAAGAACGGGUGUGAGAGUGGAAAGUUCACACUGUGACGGUAUCUUACCAGAAAGGGACGGCUAACUACGUG